GAUGAACGCUAGCGGCAGGCUUAAUACAUGCAAGUUGAGGGGCAGCAUGAUAUACGCGAGUAUAUUGAUGGCGACCGGCGGACGGGUGAGUAAUAGGUAGGAGACCUACCUCAUACAGGGGGAUAGCAUAGAGAAAUCUGUGGUAAUACCCCAUGAGGUUAUAUGAAUAGAGGCAUAUAAUCAAAGCAUAAGCGAUUAUGCGGUAUGAGAGGGGCCUACUGACCAUUAGCUAGUUGGUGAGGUAAGGGCUCACCAAGGCGAAGAUGGUUAGGGGUUUUGAGAGAGAGACCCCCCACAUUGGAACUGAGAGACGGUCCAGACUCCUACGGGAGGCAGCAGUAGGGAAUAUUGGGCAAUGGGCGAAAGCCUGACCCAGCCAUGCCGCGUGAAGGAAGACGGCCUUACGGGUUGUAAACUUCUUUACUACGCGAAUAGAGGUUAGUACGAGAUACUAAUAGGAAGGUAGUGUAGUAAAAAGCACCGGCUAACUCCGUG
This 495-nucleotide ribosomal RNA is filed under the name uncultured bacterium. RNAcentral's name for it is "bacterial SSU rRNA". It matches the Rfam family "Bacterial small subunit ribosomal RNA", at positions 28 to 507 of the family's 1533-position model. The record is from RNAcentral.